GUCGAGAAUCUUCGGCAAUGGGCGCAAGCCUGACCGAGCGACGCCGCGUGGAGGACGAAGGCCUUCGGGUUGUAAACUCCUGUCGAGGGGGAAGAAGCCGCAAGGUUGACUGAUCCCUGGAGGAAGCACGGGCUAAGUUCGUGCCAGCAGCCGCGGUAAGACGAACCGUGCGAACGUUAUUCGGAAUCACUGGGCUUAAAGCGCGUGUAGGCGGAACGGCACGUCGGUCGCUGAAAGCCCCCGGCUCAACCGGGGAAUGGGCGCCGAUACGACCGUUCUGGAGGAACGUAGGGGGACCUGGAACUUCCGGUGGAGCGGUGAAAUGCGUUGAGAUCGGAAGGAACGCCCGUGGCGAAAGCGAGGUCCUGGACGUUUUCUGACGCUGAGACGCGAAAGCCAGGGGAGCGAACGGGAUUAGAAACCCCAGUAGUCC
RNAcentral lists this ribosomal RNA (433 nucleotides) under uncultured bacterium. Its description in RNAcentral is "bacterial SSU rRNA". It matches the Rfam family "Bacterial small subunit ribosomal RNA", at positions 354 to 796 of the family's 1533-position model. The record is from RNAcentral.